Molecule: unclassified non-coding RNA, 570 nt
Filed under: Hevea brasiliensis (rubber tree)
Lineage: Eukaryota; Viridiplantae; Streptophyta; Magnoliopsida; Malpighiales; Euphorbiaceae
Source: RNAcentral
CUUAGAUUUGAUGGCAUACCUAUAGCAAAUGAUGGAACAGUUCCUUUCCGCAAUAGGGAGCGGAUAACUUUUGAUCAUUUGGUGUCUAUGAAGAAACCCAAUGAAAAAGCUUUACUAAGAAUUUUGCGGGAUGGUGAAGAGAAGGAAUUCAGUAUCACUGUCAAACCUUUGCAGCCACUAGUUCCGGUUCAUCAGUUUGACAGGCUUCCUUAGUUAUUACAUUUUUGCUGGUCUGGUCUUUGUUCCACUCUCACAGCCAUAUCUUCAUGAGUAUGGAGAAGACUGGUAUAAUACUUCACCUCAUCGAUUGUGUGAACUUGCAUUGAGGGAGCUGCCUAAAAAGCCUGGUGAACAACUCGUCAUUCUUUCCCAGGUGCUGAUGGAUGAUAUAAAUGCAGGAUACGAGCGUCUUGCAGAAUUACAGGUUAAGGAAGUUAAUGGUGUAGAAAUUGAAAAUUUGAAGCAUUUGUGCCAGCUUAUUGAGAAUUGUAGUGCCGAGAGCUUGAGAUUUGAUUUGGAUGAUGGUCGGGUAAUUGUAUUGAACUAUAACUCUGGAAGUGGCUACCCUUG